RNAcentral lists this ribosomal RNA (481 nucleotides) under uncultured bacterium. RNAcentral's name for it is "bacterial SSU rRNA". It matches the Rfam family "Bacterial small subunit ribosomal RNA", at positions 501 to 985 of the family's 1533-position model. The record is from RNAcentral.
CUACGUGCCAGCAGCCGCGGUAAUACGGAAGGUCCAGGCGUUAUCCGGAUUUAUUGGGUUUAAAGGGAGCGUAGGCUGGAGAUUAAGUGUGUUGUGAAAUGUAGACGCUCAACGUCUGAAUUGCAGCGCAUACUGGUUUCCUUGAGUACGCACAACGUUGGCGGAAUUCGUCGUGUAGCGGUGAAAUGCUUAGAUAUGACGAAGAACUCCGAUUGCGAAGGCAGCUGACGGGAGCGCAACUGACGCUUAAGCUCGAAGGUGCGGGUAUCAAACAGGAUUAGAUACCCUGGUAGUCCGCACAGUAAACGAUGGAUGCCCGCUGUUGGUACCUGGUAUCAGCGGCUAAGCGAAAGCAUUAAGCAUCCCACCUGGGGAGUACGCCGGCAACGGUGAAACUCAAAGGAAUUGACGGGGGCCCGCACAAGCGGAGGAACAUGUGGUUUAAUUCGAUGAUACGCGAGGAACCUUACCCGGGAUUGAA